UGAAUAUUUCGAUAAUUUUGAUAUUCAAAAUUCCCAAAUUUUUAGACUAACCUUUUUUGGGAUUUAAUAAUAGGUACUUACACUAUGUAUGCUUUAAGGAGUAUAAAAAUAAAAAUGGUAGAACGAACACCGUGUUUAGAUUUACAACGCACAUAUUCUCACUAAAAUCCGAUAAAAUAUUGUACAUUGUUUCAACAAUUUCCAACUUUUGAUAAAAUCGUCUUGAGGAAGAAAAAUACUUCAGAUGAACGAUUUCCUAAAAACUUUGUUGACAUUUCGCGCUGCGUAAACAACAAACAACUGUGGAAAUAACAGUUAGCAGCAAAUGUCAGAAAUACCGUACGGCUACUGACAGCUGGAAAUGCGCGCGCAUAAGCCAAAAGCAAUCACACACACACCAACAAACACAUGCAUACGCGGGAAGCUUUUUCCAGAUGACAAACUCUAAUGUAUUUGGAGCAAAAUGUGCGAUGUUUCGCUUGCCAAAGCAUACCAAAGGCAAAAACAUGAAAUUAGUGGCAAGCGGAACAACAACAACAACGAUAGUAAAAACAAAACGCUGAGAAGAGACAUUGGAACGCCGCAGUGGCGCUGACUGUGGGAAAAUUGCUUGCGCCUGCAAGACGAAAUCUCAAUUCACAUACACACUCACACACACAUACACAUGCAUACGAUAAGUGGACGACUCACUCGCUGUGCAAAGGUGUUUACAUACACGCCGCCGCCACCGAGCAGCACGAGAUAGGCGCUCCGCGGGUGGGCGGCAGACGACAACCAGCCGACCAAACCAGCCACCCAAAAAGCCGACGAGCAGCGAACGCACAGCCACUCAAAGCGACAAAAAUCGCUGCGUCGAAACGGCAUACACAGCGGACGGAUGCUGCCGAAUUGAGUUGAAUGUGAAAAGUAUUGAGGCGGAGCGGAUCGUUGGAAAUGAAGCAGAUUUUUUUGUUGAAUAGACAAAACGCGCAGUAAAGCAAAUAAAGGCGCUCAUUGGCGAAAUAAAAUAAGAAAAAAAUACACAUAUUCAAAUUAAUAUUAGAAAUAUUUGAGAAAACUGCAAUUCGUUGGAGAAAAUGCGCUGGAAAUAUGCACAGCACACUCACACGUGUCUUCCGCGCCUUCGCUGCAGAGAACAGCAAGCGUUUUCGGUGCAUUAGUACGCGUUAACUGUCGAUUUUCGGGCGUGCAUGUGCGUGCGUGUGUGUGUGUGUGCGUUUGAAAAAUCUGUGACAAUUUUUGCGAAAAUAAAUUCAAUGUCGGAAGUCGCGUAAAAGACAAAGUGUCCAAGUGCAGAAUUCUAUGGUGCUGAAAAUUUGAGAACUUUUUUUUUUUGAAAAUACCUGAAAGCCUACGUCUGAGUGAUAGCCGAACACCGUGUAUGAAAAUAAAUAAAACCAUUCAACUGUGCUGAUUUAUAAACGCAAAAAUACAAAAGAAAUACCAAAUUACAGCAAAAGUGUGCACACUCUCGCCACGGUGUUGUGCUGUGUGAGUUUCAGGCUACUUAACCUUGACAUAUCAAACGACAAGACGCAUCUCGUGGCUACAAACAGCAGCCAACCAUACAACCAACCAAGCAGCCACCCAUUACCUACCAUCAACCACCAGCAACCAGCCACCAGCAGCAGCUUCAGCAACGACAAACCACUAGCAGCUGUAGCUUGCAGUCGCGCAAAGAAAAAUACAAAAAAAAAAUACAAGAACAAAGUGACAAAUAACAAUGCUGGAAAACAAUAAAUAGACCAAAUCGGAAGGCGAAAAAGUUGCAAGUGAAAGCAAGCGAAAAUGGGUCUCAAGUGUUGACCAAAAAUAUCAAAACAAAUCUUAUUUUAAAUAAUUUAAAUGCUUGUCGUUUCGUAGUAGUGUAAUUUUGUGUAGUGUAUUUGUUUUUAAAGUGUAUUUAAACGACGGAGUUUGUAAAACAAAAGGAAAACCAGUAGAACGAAGCUGAAAACAAAAGCGUACAAAGCAACGUUAAUCAAAAAACAACAAAGCAUCAACGCAUAUUAGUUACCAUAUCAAAAAACGUAUUUAAAUUUUACAACAAAUAAAUAAAAAUAAAAAAAUCUUAGAACAAAACAAAAUAUCAAAUUGGAACCGAGCACACAUCAUUUUUCCCCAAAAAGGCUAACGAAAUAUUAGCAUGAAAAAAGAGUAUUUUCUCGAUAGAGAUAUUUCUACAAGCGCAUCAAAUGCUAUUUCCAUAGUAAUUGCUUUCUUUACUUAAACGCUAUAAAUGCAAAAUACACAAAAUCCGCAAAAAUCGCAAAAAUCGCCAAAACAAAUUACGCAACAAAGCUGCCAGAUAAGAUGAACACAGUUGCAUGCGACGCUAAUGCGCUGCUAGCAACAACAAAACACAAUAAUUCGCACGCUACAAAUAACACGCGUAGCAACAACAACAAACAAACAAAUAUCAACAGCAAAAAUAUAUCAACAAAACAAAUCGCAACAGCAACAAA
Bactrocera dorsalis (oriental fruit fly) is the source of this 2465-nucleotide long non-coding RNA. RefSeq lists it as uncharacterized. The record is from RefSeq and is a predicted model, not a curated record. Lineage: Eukaryota; Metazoa; Arthropoda; Insecta; Diptera; Tephritidae. The transcript is spliced from 2 exons.